Molecule: ribosomal RNA, 468 nt
Filed under: uncultured bacterium
Lineage: Bacteria
Description: partial 16S ribosomal RNA
Rfam family: Bacterial small subunit ribosomal RNA
Source: RNAcentral
GACGAACGCUGGCGGCGUGCUUAACACAUGCAAGUCGAACGGAAAGGCCCUGCUUUUGUGGGGUGCUCGAGUGGCGAACGGGUGAGUAACACGCGAGUAACCUGCCCUUGACUUUGGGAUAACUUCAGGAAACUGGGGCUAAUACCGGAUAGGAGCUCCUGCUGCAUGGUGGGGGUUGGAAAGUUUCGGCGGUUGGGGAUGGACUCGCGGCUUAUCAGCUUGUUGGUGGGGUAGUGGCUUACCAAGGCUUUGACGGGUAGCCGGCCUGAGAGGGGGACCGGCCACAUGGGGACUGAGAUACGGAGCAGACUCCUACGGGAGGCAGCAGGGGGGAGUAUUGCAGAAUGGGCGGAAGCCUGAUGCAGCAGCGCCGCGUGCGGGAUGACGGCCUUCGAGUUGUAAACCGCUUUCGCCUGUGACGAAGCGUGAUUGACGGUAAUGGGUAAAGAAGCACCGGCUAACUACGUG